GACACAUUGAAGCCAGAUGCGUAUGCCACAUCCCACAUUAAAAAUGCAAGAAUUAGAAUUUUUAUUCCCAUUCCUCACAACGACAAGCCCUCUGAGAAGAUGAAGCAAGAAUUGCAGGUGGUGUAAGCAAGAGAGCAACUGCAAAUACCCAAUCUUUCGCAAGAUAUAAUGAAUUGAAGCAACCCAAAAGUGAUAUUCUCGAAGAAGCCGCCUUGCAGUUUCGCGCGAAAUUGCCGGAAAUCAUACCACUACGGCAUAUUCAAUUCAUGCAAGUGAAGAUCAAAGAGUACUGCCCGG
This is a long non-coding RNA of Ipomoea nil (Japanese morning glory), 297 nucleotides long. RefSeq lists it as uncharacterized. NCBI's taxonomy places the organism in Eukaryota, Viridiplantae, Streptophyta, Magnoliopsida, Solanales, Convolvulaceae. The transcript is spliced from 2 exons. The record is from RefSeq and is a predicted model, not a curated record.